AGUGAACGCUGGCGGUAUGCCUAACACAUGCAAGUCGAACGGCAACACACUAACUGCUUGCUCUAACGGGUUGCGAGAGGCGGACGGGUGAGGAAGACAACGGGCUCUGCAUUUUCGUGGGGGAUAGCGUAGGGGAACUUACUCUAAUACCGCAUACGACCUACGGGUGAAAGCAGGGGAGCUUCUGACCUUGCGCGGUGGAAGGAGCCGAUGUCGGAUUAGCUAGUUUGCGGGGUAAAGGCCCACUAAGCCGAGGAUCCGUCGAUGGUGUGAGAGGAUGAUCAGCCACACUGGAACUGAGACACGGUCCAGAGGCCUACGGGAGGGAGCAGUGGGCAAUAUUGGACAGUAGGGGGAAGCCUGAUCCAACCAUACCGCGUGGGUGGCGGAGGCGUUCGGGUUGUAAAGCCCUUUUGUGGGGAAAGAAAAGCAUCAGCUUAAUACCACGCUGUUCUGACGGUACCCAAAGAAUAAGCACCGGCUAACUUCGUG
Molecule: ribosomal RNA, 492 nt
Filed under: uncultured bacterium
Lineage: Bacteria
Description: partial 16S ribosomal RNA
Rfam family: Bacterial small subunit ribosomal RNA
Source: RNAcentral